AUAAGCUUAUUAAGGGCGUAUGGGGGAUGCCUAGGCUCUCAGAGGCGAUGAAGGACGUGAUAAGCUGCGAAAAGCUACGGGGAUCGGCACACACGAAUUGAUCCGUAGAUAUCCGAAUGGGGCAACCCACUACAUUGAAGGUGUAGUAUCCGCAAGGAGGCGAACCCGGAGAACUGAAACAUCUAAGUACCCGGAGGAGAAGAAAACAACAGUGAUUGCGCUAGUAGCGGCGAGCGAACGUGCAGGAGCCCAAACCAAUAGGUUUACGGAUCUAUUGGGGUUAUAGGACCGCGAUAUUCGAUGCUUGCAGAAUUGGAACAAGUUGGAAAGCUUGGCCGUAGACGGUGACAGCCCGGUACAAGUAAUAAUAUAGUUAUCGAUAGUGGUAUCCUGAGUAGUGCGGGGCACGAGAAACCCUGUAUGAAUUUGGCGGGACCAUCCGCUAAGGCUAAAUACUCCUGAGAGACCGAUAGUGAACCAGUACUGUGAAGGAAAGGUGAAAAGAACCCUGAACAAGGGAGUGAAACAGACCCUGAAACCAUACGCUUACAAGCGGUCGGAGUCUCGAUUUAUCGGGAUGACGGCGUGCCUUUUGCAUAAUGAGCCUACGAGUUACCAUUGCCAGCGAGGUUAAUCUUUUUAAAGAGAGGAGCCGUAGCGAAAGCGAGUCUUAAUAGGGCUACAAAGUUGGUAUUGGUAGACGCGAAACCGAGUGAUCUACCCUUGGGCAGGUUGAAGCUUUGUUAACCCAAAGUGGAGGACCGAACCCGUUGACGUUGAAAAGUCUUGGGAUGACCUGAGGGUAGGGGUGAAAGGCCAAUCAAACUCGGAAAUAGCUCGUACUCCCCGAAAUGCAUUUAGGUGCAGCGAUUAUUUAGUUUUAUAGAGGUAGAGCUACUGAUUGGAUGCGGGGGCUUCACCGCCUACCAAUUCCUGACAAACUCCGAAUGCUAUAAAAUGCUUUUAAUCAGUGAGGGCAUGGGUGCUAAGGUCCAUGUCCGAGAGGGAAAGAACCCAGACCAUCAGCUAAGGUCCCCAAAUGUAUGUUAAGUUGAACAAACGCGGUUGAACUGCUUAGACAGCUAGGAUGUUGGCUUGGAAGCAGCCAUUCAUUUAAAGAGUGCGUAACAGCUCACUAGUCGAGCGGUUCGGCAUGGAUAAUAAUCGGGCAUAAACAUACUACCGAAGCUAUGGAUUUUGUACUUAAAGUACAAAGUGGUAGGGGAGCAUUGUAACGAAGCUGAAGGUGUACUGCGAGGUAUGCUGGAUUUGUUACAAAAGAAAAUGUAGGCAUAAGUAACGAUAAGACGGGCGAGAAACCCGUCCACCGAAAGACUAAGGUUUCCUCAGCUAUGCUAAUCAGCUGAGGGUUAGUCAGGACCUAACGCGAACCCGAAAGGGGUAGUGGAUGGACAAGCAGUUAAUAUUCUGCUACCUGCUUUAAAUUAAAAGCGACGGAGUCGGAAGGAUAGCGCGUACUGACGGAAUAGUACGUUGAACCACGAGUGAUUGUGGGAUAGUACACUUAAGCUACGGCGGCGGUGAUAGCUAUCUGCCCUGCUUCCAAGAAAAGCGAUUAAAGCAGCCUGUACCGUAAACCGACACAGGUAGUUGGGAUGAGAAUUCUAAGGUGCUCGAGAGAUUCAUGGCUAAGGAACUAGGCAAAAUAGACGCGUAACUUCGGGAGAAGCGUCGCCCCCAAGUUUACUUGGGGGCCGCAGUGAAAGAGUCCAGGCGACUGUUUAUCAAAAACACAGGGCUAUGCUAAAUCGAAAGAUGACGUAUAUGGCCUGACACCUGCCCGGUGCCGGAAGGUUAAGUGGAGGCGUUAUCAUUAGAGAAGCGCUAAAAUGAAGCCCCGGUAAACGGCGGCCGUAACUAUAACGGUCCUAAGGUAGCGAAAUUCCUUGUCGGGUAAGUUCCGACCUGCACGAAUGGUGCAACGAUCUGGACACUGUCUCAGCCAUGAGCUCGGUGAAAUUGUAGUAUCGGUGAAGAUGCCGAUUACCCGCUGUGGGACGAAAAGACCCCGUGAACCUUUACUAUAGCUUAGUAUUGGUUUUGGACAAGUGAUGUGUAGGAUAGGUGGGAGGCUUUGAAGCGGUAUCGCUAGGUAUCGUGGAGCCAUUGUUGAAAUACCACCCUUUACUUGUUUAAAGCCUAACCCCAUUUAUUGGGGGAAAAUGCUUGGUGGGUAGUUUGACUGGGGUGGUCGCCUCCAAAAGAGUAACGGAGGCUUCUAAAGGUUCCCUCAGCACGCUUGGUAACCGUGCGUAGAGUGUAAUGGCAUAAGGGAGCUUGACUGAGAGACAUACAGGUCGAUCAGGUACGAAAGUAGAGCAUAGUGAUCCGGUGGUUCCGCAUGGAAGGGCCAUCGCUCAAAGGAUAAAAGGUACUCCGGGGAUAACAGGCUGAUCUCCCCCAAGAGCUCACAUCGACGGGGGGGUUUGGCACCUCGAUGUCGGCUCGUCACAUCCUGGGGCUGGAGAAGGUCCCAAGGGUUGGGCUGUUCGCCCAUUAAAGUGGCACGCGAGCUGGGUUCAGAACGUCGUGAGACAGUUCGGUCUCUAUCUACAGUGGGCGUAAGAAAUUUGAGUGGAUCUGACUCUAGUACGAGAGGACCGAGUUGGACAAACCUCUGGUGUAUCUGUUGUUCCGCCAGGAGCAUCGCAGAGUAGCUACGUUUGGCAGGGAUAAGCGCUGAAAGCAUAUAAGCGCGAAACCCACCACAAGAUGAGAUUUCUUUAAAGGGUCCCCGUAGACUACGGGGUUGAUAGGCUAUAGGUGUAAAGGCAGUAAUGUCAUAGCCGAGUAGUACUAAUAACCCGUUUAGCUUAUGUAU
RNAcentral lists this ribosomal RNA (2842 nucleotides) under Haloflavibacter putidus. RNAcentral's name for it is "Flavobacteriaceae bacterium PLHSN227 23S ribosomal RNA". It matches the Rfam family "Bacterial large subunit ribosomal RNA". Lineage: Bacteria; Pseudomonadati; Bacteroidota; Flavobacteriia; Flavobacteriales; Flavobacteriaceae. The record is from RNAcentral.